RNAcentral lists this ribosomal RNA (468 nucleotides) under uncultured bacterium. RNAcentral describes it as "partial 16S ribosomal RNA". It matches the Rfam family "Bacterial small subunit ribosomal RNA", at positions 28 to 507 of the family's 1533-position model. The record is from RNAcentral.
GACGAACGCUGGCGGCGUGCUUAACACAUGCAAGUCGAACGGAAAGGCCCUGCUUUUGUGGGGUGCUCGAGUGGCGAACGGGUGAGUAACACGUGAGUAACCUGCCCUUGACUUUGGGAUAACUUCAGGAAACUGGGGCUAAUACCGGAUAGGAGCUCCUGCUGCAUGGUGGGGGUUGGAAAGUUUCGGCGGUUGGGGAUGGACUCGCGGCUUAUCAGCUUGUUGGUGGGGUAGUGGCUUACCAAGGCUUUGACGGGUAGCCGGCCUGAGAGGGUGACCGGCCACAUUGGGACUGAGAUACGGCCCAGACUGCUACGGGAGGCAGCAGUGGGGAAUAUUGCACAAUGGGCGGAAGCCUGAUGCAGCAACGCCGCGUGCGGGAUGACGGCCUUCGGGUUGUAAACCGCUUUCGACUGUGACGAAGCGUGAGUGACGGUAAUGGGUAAAGAAGCACCGGCUAACUACGUG